RNAcentral lists this small nucleolar RNA (132 nucleotides) under Octodon degus (degu). RNAcentral describes it as "Small nucleolar RNA SNORA5 (ENSODEG00000022636.1)". It matches the Rfam family "Small nucleolar RNA SNORA5". Rfam says of the family: ACA5 is a member of the H/ACA class of snoRNA that guide the sites of modification of uridines to pseudouridines. Lineage: Eukaryota; Metazoa; Chordata; Mammalia; Rodentia; Octodontidae. The record is from Rfam by way of RNAcentral.
UGCAGCUGUGUCAAAUUCGGGGCCCGCCUCACGUGGCAGGCACCGGCCCAGGAGGCUGCCACAGGAACACUGUGACUCAUGGGCCCUGCUCCCCUGGCUUGGGUGCAGGGAUAAAUUAGGUCACAGACACCA